RNAcentral lists this ribosomal RNA (301 nucleotides) under uncultured bacterium. RNAcentral's name for it is "partial 16S ribosomal RNA". It matches the Rfam family "Bacterial small subunit ribosomal RNA", at positions 509 to 809 of the family's 1533-position model. The record is from RNAcentral.
CAGCCGCCGCGGGAAUACGAAGGGUGCAAGCGUUACUCGGAAUUACUGGGCGUAAAGCGUGCGUAGGUGGUGGUUUAAGUCCGUUGUGAAAGCCCUGGGCUCAACCUGGGAAUUGCAGUGGAUACUGGGUCACUAGAGUGUGGUAGAGGAUAGUGGAAUUUCCGGUGUAGCAGUGAAAUGCGUAGAGAUCGGAAGGAACAUCUGUGGCGAAGGCGACUAUCUGGGCCAACACUGACACUGAGGCACGAAAGCGUGGGGAGCAAACAGGAUUAGAGACCCCUGUAGUCCCUGUCUCUUAUAA